Molecule: transfer RNA, 75 nt
Filed under: Candidatus Cloacimonadota bacterium
Lineage: Bacteria; Pseudomonadati; Candidatus Cloacimonadota
Also listed under: 1 other name
Description: tRNA-Glu
Rfam family: tRNA
About the family: Transfer RNA (tRNA) molecules are approximately 80 nucleotides in length. Their secondary structure includes four short double-helical elements and three loops (D, anti-codon, and T loops).
Source: RNAcentral
GGCCCCAUCGUUUAACGGUUAGGACUCAGGAUUUUCAUUCCUGCAAUAGGGGUUCGAUUCCCCUUGGGGUCACCA